AAGCGCGCCCCGGAAUCCUUCGGGAGGAAGGGUCGCGACUGACCUGCGGACGGGUGAGUAACGCGUGGGCAACCUGCCCCAUACAGGGGGACAACGGCCGGAAACGGCCGCUAAUACCGCAUGAUUCCUCUUGGCCGCAUGGCCGGGAGGGGAAAGCCGAGACGGUAUGGGAUGGACCCGCGUCUGAUUAGCUGGUUGGCGAGGUAACGGCUCACCAAGGCGACGAUCAGUAGCCGGCCUGAGAGGGCGACCGGCCACAUUGGGACUGAGACACGGCCCAAACUCCUACGGGAGGCAGCAGUGGGGAAUAUUGCACAAUGGGGGAAACCCUGAUGCAGCGACGCCGCGUGAAGGACGAAGUAUUUCGAUACGUAAACUUCUAUCAGCAGGGAAGAAAAUGACGGUACCUGACCAAGAAGCCCCGGCUAACUACGUGCCAGCAGCCGCGGUAAUACGUAGGGGGCAAGCGUUAUCCGGAUUUACUGGGUGUAAAGGGAGCGUAGACGGCCAUGCAAGUCUGAUGUGAAAACCCGGGGCUCAACCCCGGGACUGCAUUGGAAACUGUGCGGCUGGAGUGUCGGAGAGGCAAGUGGAAUUCCUAGUGUAGCGGUGAAAUGCGUAGAUAUUAGGAGGAACACCAGUGGCGAAGGCGGCUUGCUGGACGACGACUGACGUUGAGGCUCGAAAGCGUGGGGAGCAAACAGGAUUAGAUACCCUGGUAGUCCACGCCGUANACGAUGACUGCUAGGUGUCGGGGGGCAUGGCCCCNCGGUGCCGCAGCUAAC
This 785-nucleotide ribosomal RNA is filed under the name uncultured bacterium. RNAcentral describes it as "bacterial SSU rRNA". It matches the Rfam family "Bacterial small subunit ribosomal RNA", at positions 64 to 856 of the family's 1533-position model. The record is from RNAcentral.